UGCAGUCGACGCGAAGUCCCCUUCGGGGGGCAAGUAGAGUGGCGCACGGGUGAGUAACACGUAGGUAAUCUACCUUUGGAUUGGGAAUAACCACGGGAAACUGUGGCUAAUACCGAAUAAUGCAGCGGCACCUAAUGGUGACAGUUGUUAAAGCGGGGGAUCGCAAGACCUCGCGUCUGAAGAGGAGCCUGCGGCAGAUUAGCUAGUUGGUAAGGUAACGGCUUACCAAGGCUAUGAUCUGUAGCCGGCCUGAGAGGGCGGUCGGCCACACUGACACUGACAUACGGGUCAGACUCCUACGGGAGGCAGCAGUCGGGAAUUUUGGGCAAUGGGCGAAAGCCUGACCCAGCAACGCCGCGUGAAGGAUGAAAUCCCUCGGGAUGUAAACUUCGCAAGAACAGGAAGAAUAAGUAAGAGUUAAUAUCUCUUAUGAUGACGGUACUGUUUGUAGCUCCGGCUAACUCCGUGCCAGCAGCCGCGGUAAUACGGGGGGAGCAAGCGUUGUUCGGAUUUACUGGGCGUAAAGGGCGGGUAGGCGGCCACUGCAAGUCGGUUGUGAAAUCUCCGGGCUUAACCCGGAAAGGUCAAUCGAUACUGCAGGGCUAGAGUGCAGAAAGGGCAACUGGAAUUCUCGGUGUAGCGGUGAAAUGCGUAGAUAUCGAGAGGAACACCUGCGGCGAAAGCGGGUUGCUGGGCUGACACUGACGCUGAACUGCG
This 717-nucleotide ribosomal RNA is filed under the name uncultured bacterium. RNAcentral describes it as "bacterial SSU rRNA". It matches the Rfam family "Bacterial small subunit ribosomal RNA", at positions 56 to 755 of the family's 1533-position model. The record is from RNAcentral.